Molecule: long non-coding RNA, 1376 nt
Organism: Entelurus aequoreus (snake pipefish)
Lineage: Eukaryota; Metazoa; Chordata; Actinopteri; Syngnathiformes; Syngnathidae
Exons: 4
Source: RefSeq, a predicted model, not a curated record
GGCUCGUAAACGCACCAUCAGAUGCGUACUUCCGGGGAAGUUUAGAACUGUCUACAAACUUUUAAAACUCAUUUCUUAGCUCUGUCGAGUCUUAAAGGAGACUCAAAGGGGAAUAUUUCUGACCACGUGACUAACCUGUCAGGACGACCGGUGGCUUUCUUGGUGAACUUUGUCGCCUUGGAGCAAAAUGCUAACCUGCACGUUAGCAUCCUGACGCUGUGCCUGUGUUCCCGCCGACGGGUGACAUCACUAGAGCCUAAAUGUCAUGACGACGCGGCCGCAGGCUCAUUUGGCAAGCAUCGUAACAUCAGGUGGCGUGGCGGUGAAUCACAGCAAUUCAAUAGUUUGUUGUUUUAACACACACCACCGACUUGCCGUGACGUCACCGCUCGGAGUCGGCCAAGCACCUUCAAUUUGAAAAAGUGGUCUCCGGAUACUCUUGUCUUCCUCCGACAUCCCAAAAACAUGCAAGUCAAUUCCAGGUCCACAGCAGACACGCCAGAACAUGAGGAUCCGAUUCCGUCACCAUGAGAGCCCAGCCACGUUGGCUACUGUUCACCUCCUCCUGUUGGGCAGACCUGUUCUGCCCAGACCGGCGUGGCAGUGCACAGCAACCCUUCCCUCCCCCGCAGCGAAGGCCAACACCUUUACGCCAUCGAUGAUGCCGACGAGGGAGGACACGCCGAAAUCUGGCAUCCCAAAGUUGUAGAAAUAAACUGAACAUUCACACAAAGAACAUCAAAUGGUUUGAGUCACAACAUUAGGCACAGUAUCUGCAAAAUACAAUGAAGAAUUCAGCCUUCUACUAAUAUACUGCAGUUAUGCUCGAUUUCCCAAAACCGUUAGAAACUUAGAAAUGUCCAAAACGGGAAUUGUCACGAGUUUUGAUGGGCCGAUAACAAAUUUUGCUGGACGAUAUGUUGUCCCAUAAAUUGUUGCCGAAAAACGGCAAUAUUGUCAGCAAUAUUUGGAGACCAAAUUACGCACGAUAAUGCAAAUAUUCCUUUCAAAUGUAAUAAACUUUGAUUUAUUAGUUGUUUUUCUUAACCAUAAUUAGAAGUUCAGUAACUUUAAAGUGUCUUCAAGAAAUAAAACUAUCUUGUCAAUCGGACAAAUAGAACAGACAAGCCAUUGUCAUGUCUGCUCGCGGAAAAACAAAAAUCGUAAUCUACGAUUUGACUCCCUCGAAUGGCCUUGACGCAGGAGCAGGCUGUUCUGAAAACAUCCCAGAGGACACCUCAAUGAUGGACGCUUUUGACCUCCCUCCCUCCUCAACGACACCUGGAGUCGAACUUUUGCUUGCAUGCAGAACGGCCCCAGGCCUAUGGACACUACAUCCACACACCCAAGACAAUGGGCAUAUACACGCACACCCC